CCUACGGGAGGCAGCAGUGGGGAAUAUUGCACAAUGGCCGAAACCCUGAUGCAGCGACGCCGCGUGAGCGAUGAAGGCUUUCGGUAUGUAAAGCUCUAUCAGCAGGGAAGAAAAUGACGGUACCUCUUGAAUAAUCCACGGCUAACUACGUGCCAGCAGCCGCGGUAAUACGUAGGUGGCAAGCGUUGUCCGGAUUGACUGGGCGUAAAGGGCGUGCAGCCGGGUAGACAAGUCAGAAGUGAAAUCCCGCGGCUCAACCGCGGAACUGCAUGUGAAACUGGUAUUCUUGAGUACCGGAGAGGUCAGCGGAAUUCCUGGUGUAGCGGUGAAAUGCGUAGAUAUAAGGAAGAACACCGGUGGCGAAGGCGGAUGACUGGACGGCAACUGACGGUGAGGCGCGAAAGCGUGGGGAGCAAACAGGAUUAGAUACCCUUGUAGUC
Molecule: ribosomal RNA, 440 nt
Filed under: uncultured bacterium
Lineage: Bacteria
Description: partial 16S ribosomal RNA
Rfam family: Bacterial small subunit ribosomal RNA
Source: RNAcentral